ACCAAACAGCUAGCCCAAAAAUCUAAAACCAAAAUAUCCCCAUAAAUAACCCCUAAAACACAAACACUAAACAUUAAUCAAAUCAUUUUACCCCCCAAGUACGGGCGACGGAAAAGGAACUAGGAGCCAUAGACAAAGUACCGCAAGGGAACGCUGAAAGAGAUAUGAAACAGCCCAGUAAAGUAACAAAAAGCAGAGACUAACACUCGUACCUUUUGCAUCAUGAUUUAGCCAGUCCCCCCAGGCAAAGAGAACUUUAGUCUGACACCCCGAAACUAAGUGAGCUACUCCAAGACAGCCUAUAAAGGGCCAACCCGUCUCUGUGGCAAAAGAGUGGGAAGAGCUUUGAGUAGAGGUGACAAAUCUACCGAACUUAGUAAUAGCUGGUUGCCUGAAAAAUGAAUAGAAGUUCAGCCUUCCAACUUCUCCACUCACACGUCUAAACUCAUUAUGACACAAAGAAAUUAGAAGAGUUAAUCGAAGGGGGUACAGCCCCUUCGAACAAGAAACAACUUUUAUAGCCGGGUAAAGAUCACAAUAAUUUAAGGAAACAUGUCUAAGUGGGCUUAAAAGCAGCCACCUAAGUAGAAAGCGUUAAAGCUCAGACAUACCUGCCCUCCCAUAAUACCGAUAACACCAUCUCAACCCCCUCCCCAUUACCAGGCUGUUUUAUGCAAACAUAAAAGCACCUAUGCUAAUAUGAGUAAUAAGAAAGGAAUCAGCCUUUCUCCCAGCACGUACAUACAUCGAAACGGACCUUCCAUCGAACAUUACCGGCCCCAAACAAAGAGGGAAACGAGCAACUAACAAAUGACCAGAAAAUCACCCAUAAAUAAACCGUUAAGCCCACACUGGCGUGCACACUAGGAAAGACCAAAAGAAAAAGAAGGAACUCGGCAAACACAUUAGCCUCGCCUGUUUACCAAAAACAUCGCCUCUUGUAAACUAAAAAUAAGAGGUCCCGCCUGCCCAGUGACAUUAUGUUUAACGGCCGCGGUAUUCUGACCGUGCAAAGGUAGCGCAAUCACUUGUCUUUUAAAUGAAGACCCGUAUGAAUGGCAUAACGAGGGCCUAACUGUCUCCUUUUUCCGGUCAAUGAAAUUGAUCUCCCCGUGCAGAAGCGGGGCUAUAACCAUAAGACGAGAAGACCCUGUGGAGCUUUAGACACCAGAUCAGACCUUGUUCAACACCUCCAAAAUAAAGGAAAUAACUAAAGGACCCUGUUCUAAUGUCUUCGGUUGGGGCGACCCCGGAGAACACAAAACCUCCAUGCGGAAUAGGAGUACUUCUCCCACAACCAAGAGUGACUACUCUAAGCAAUAGAAUUUCUAACCAAAAGAUCCGGCAAAGCCGAUCAACGAACUAAGUUACCCCAGGGAUAACAGCGCAAUCCCCUUUCAGAGUUCCUAUCGACAAGGGGGUUUACGACCUCGAUGUUGGAUCAGGACAUCCUAAUGGUGCAACCGCUAUUAAGGGUUCGUUUGUUCAACGAUUAAAGUCCUACGUGAUCUGAGUUCAGACCGGAGUAAUCCAGGUCAGUUUCUAUCUAUGAAACAUUUUUUUCUAGUACGAAAGGACCGAAAAAAAGAGGCCCCUGUCACAGACACGCCUCACCCUCACCUAAUGAAAACAACUAAAUUAGGCAAAAGGAUGUAUUCCUUGAGCCUAAGAUAACGGCUU
RNAcentral lists this ribosomal RNA (1680 nucleotides) under Channa andrao. RNAcentral's name for it is "16S ribosomal RNA". It matches the Rfam family "Bacterial large subunit ribosomal RNA". The record is from RNAcentral. Lineage: Eukaryota; Metazoa; Chordata; Actinopteri; Anabantiformes; Channidae.